AGUCGAGCAGGGACGAAAGUCGGGCUUAGUGAUCCGGUGGUUCCGCAUGGAAGGGCCAUCGCUCAACGGAUAAAAGCUACCCCGGGGAUAACAGGCUUAUCUCCCCCAAGAGUCCACAUCGACGGGGAGGUUUGGCACCUCGAUGUCGGCUCAUCGCAUCCUGGGGCUGUAGUCGGUCCCAAGGGUUGGGCUGUUCGCCCAUUAAAGCGGUACGCGAGCUGGGUUCAGAACGUCGUGAGACAGUUCGGUCCCUAUCCGUCGCGGGCGCAGGAAAUUUGAGAGGAGCUGUCCUUAGUACGAGAGGACCGGGAUGGACGCACCGCUGGUGUACCAGUUGUUCUGCCAAGGGCAUCGCUGGGUAGCUAUGUGC
RNAcentral lists this ribosomal RNA (370 nucleotides) under Bacillus pumilus. RNAcentral describes it as "partial 23S ribosomal RNA". It matches the Rfam family "Bacterial large subunit ribosomal RNA", at positions 2387 to 2756 of the family's 2925-position model. Lineage: Bacteria; Bacillati; Bacillota; Bacilli; Caryophanales; Bacillaceae. The record is from RNAcentral.